CGUCAAGCUACAAAGGGCUCACGGU
RNAcentral lists this ribosomal RNA (25 nucleotides) under Candidatus Synechococcus spongiarum. Its description in RNAcentral is "partial 23S ribosomal RNA". Lineage: Bacteria; Bacillati; Cyanobacteriota; Cyanophyceae; Synechococcales; Synechococcaceae. The record is from RNAcentral.